UCGUUUUUAGGAGGUGAACAGAAAUGGCAUUAUGUGGUAGAAGCAAAAAAUGCAAAAGACAAAAAAAAUUAGUGAACAGUAUGUUGAGCUGCCAGACGGGGAAUCACGUUUGUUACCCUGUGCACUUAAAGACCAAUUCAACUAAAUGAAUAAAGGCGACAAGGAAGGCCCGAGCGAGGACAUCUGUAUUGCGGGAAAAAGAAAAAAAACAAAACAAGGAGGUGGAGACAUUUCAGCUGCAGCUAUUUGAAUAGAAGCAUUUCGUAGGAAAGGGAAACCCCAUAGUACGAAAAACAGACCAAUCUUGUAUUUUCUGACCACCUUUAAAGCUCCCUUUCUUUGUAAUAAAGCAGAACGGCUUUCCUGAACCAGUGUUUGGACUCUGUAUGGGAAGGGGGUGUGUGGGUGAAACCGCACUUUCGGUAUGAGCAUGAGUGCGUGGCUGUAACGCAUGACUAAUCCUAACACUGCUUUUUCCUGUUCACGUGAACAGACGUGCUUUUUUUUCAAGUUUUUUAAUAAAGAUGCCAUGAGUUAAUGGUUAACACACACAGAUUACUUACAAAAGGCCAGAGAAAAAUCAGAUGGAAUGUCACUGAUGUGAAGAAACUGCUGUGUAAGUCGCUUUUCGAUCACUAUGAAAACUGUAAGACAGCAGCAGCUUUAAGGCAAGUGCAAUUCAACUUCCUCCAUCACAGUGCGCAAGGACGAUUUAUGUUUUGUUUUUUUACUGUCAUACACAUUGCGAUAUAUUUUAGG
Molecule: long non-coding RNA, 759 nt
Organism: Sinocyclocheilus rhinocerous
Lineage: Eukaryota; Metazoa; Chordata; Actinopteri; Cypriniformes; Cyprinidae
Exons: 2
Source: RefSeq, a predicted model, not a curated record